Long non-coding RNA from Aegilops tauschii subsp. strangulata, 2925 nucleotides. RefSeq lists it as uncharacterized. Lineage: Eukaryota; Viridiplantae; Streptophyta; Magnoliopsida; Poales; Poaceae. The record is from RefSeq and is a predicted model, not a curated record.
AAAAAAAAAGCCACCAGCGCCUCGCACGAGCACGACCCUGCCCCUCGAUCCCAUCUACACCUCCUUCCCGCCGCCACCUCCUGCCCCGCGCCGCCCGCCCCACACCGCCUCGAUCGGGACCGCGUCCCUCCCCAAACGACGGCAAUGAUGGAGGGCGCCGCCCAGCUCCUGGCCGACGGAUUCGCUGGCUCCCCGCACCUCGGGGCCAGCCCCUCCCCCGUGCCGAGUCGAGCAUCGACUUGGAGGCCCCUUGGGGCUGCCGCCGGUGCGGGAGUCCCACGCGGCCGUGCGGGCUGGGGACCGAUUGGCGGGGCCCGUGGUGCGACGCUCGAUGGAUGGCCUGCACAGCGCGGACGACUGCUUCUCUCCCAGGAGGGCCAUAGGCAGCCACUACAUGUCGGAGCUGUUGCAGGAGCACCAGAAGCUUGUCCUGUUCACACAGGUGCUACCAAUCUGCAUCAAACUGUUGGGCCACCGUGAGAGCCUCGAUUCGCUCCCUCGCCGCCGCCCGGUCUACCAUUAUUGGCCUAGGUCUGAUUGCUUAUGUUUCUCUCUUGUUGAUGCAAACUUGCUCUGCUUGACUCUGUUUUGGCCUCAAGGCAUCUCACUUGUCAUGACUCUGUUUUGGCCUCAAGGCAUCUCACUUGUCACAUAUUGUUAUCAACUCAGAGAAGAAAAAGGUUCCAUGAGGGUGUCUAUUACAGAACUGGAGAAAGAGCUCGCCUACCAUGCAUGUUGCCUGGUCCGAUGAGCAGUGCUACGCCAAGUGCCCUGUCAGAGUGCAGCCGCACAACGCUGCCUGCUGUUGAGGACCCCGGAGCCUAGACAGUUAGCUCGGCAACUUCCAGCCCCCCACCGUCUUUCUUGACAGCCACGACACCCAUCUUUUCGUCUAUGCCUCAUUGGAUGCACUUCCAUUGUAUGUAAUGUUAGAUAUACACAAUCAUAGAUACAUAUAUGAUCUUCCACCUCGGCUCCUAUACUGAUAAGAUUUGUGUUGAUACAUGAUUCUCAACAAAGUGUGCUACCAAACUUUUUCACGAAAAGUGUAGUACCAGUUGGUGUGAUAUCAUGUCCUCAGCAACGCCCCCGAUGGAUCGACCAUGACCAUGUUGUUGCCUGGAAUCUUUUUUCAUGAUGAUGUCGCUAUUCGUCAUCCCACAGUUUAUGCGGUGGAGCGUCAACGACCUCAGCGUGUUGCAGGAGAAGACCAUGAAUAUCGGCAAGAAAGAUGUUGAUCAAGGAAGGUGCAACACUGUGAUGUGAGUUGAACACAAGCAUGGCCUACAAUCUCGACGCCCACCAUCCAUGUGCCUUGCAAGCAGCAAUUGUUCACACCCUUGAUAUUUGUCACUGCCCUCUUCUCAUCUAUCCCGACAGUCUCGGUGUCCAGGCAAGGUAUGUCUAUGUCAGUUGAACUGUCACUCGAGUUACAACAAUUCCAAUCUUUUUUCUAUAUCUGCAAUUGGGUGGACUAUGGUAUGAAUCAGUUUAUAAGCAACCAUGGUGUACAUGAAUCUCUGUUGGUGUGAACUGUCAAAAGCAUUUCCUACUAUUUCUACCUCUGUUUCAUCUUCUAAAUCUAGAGUCUAGACUUGGAUAUUAUCUAGCAACAAUCUGUUCAUGAGAAAAGCAUGGCUAAGAGUCAUACUAGAUGUAUGCAUAAUACCGGGACAAGAUAUUUACCUGCCAUUAUCCCAGAAGGGAAACAUAAUACUAAACUGCCAUAAAAACAUUUGAGGGCUUACAUCAUCGUUGAGGUCAAAUUUGUAUCUUUAUUAUCACCCUAAUAAAACAUGGUUUUGCUAAUUGACUUCAUCUUAUUUCAACUUUGUUAGUUCAGUUCACGUGCUCUGUUAGAGACCAACCCCAAUGUGUAUGCUACAACCACUGAAAGAAGUAUGUUGCCUUGAUGUUUUUAAUUCAGUUAAUUUGUAUUAAUUGUGUGGCAUCAUCAUGCAAGGUAAAUGCAGAGCUAUACUUUCUAUUCUCGUGCCUUCUAUUAAAAUCAUGCAGAAGCUCCGGUCAUCGUUGUUCAUAUGUUUUGACUCUUAUCGAGCCUCUUCUGUGAGGCACAUAGUUUGGGAGUAUGCCUAUGGCAAUUUAUCUAUUUCCAUGAUUGAAGAGACAUUUUUAAAUUGAACAAAACAAAUUAUAUGAGAGGCAUAUGUUUUGUUUUUGCUGUCCCAAACUACAGAGAGCCUUGCAAAUUUCCAGGACUCUGUUUCCUCUUGGAACUCUCCUAACUAUGCAUUCUUGAUCACUGUCGAACAUUGAUCGACAGACUGCUCUGUUUACAAACUCUAUUUUUUCUAGGUUUUCUUGUGAAAAUUGAUGAUACCCCAAUGCAGAGCCUUUUGUAGCCUUGUUGUUGGUGACAGAUUUCAGACGAUAACCUAAAUGUAGGCAUUAAACACAACAAGGUCAGGAUAUGAUAAUGGCCCAAGGUCGUGCCGACAAAUCUGGAAAUACUCUAGAACAAAAUAAUAAUCUGGCAAUGGCCCAAGAGAGCUGUUAGUUCUUGGAUUUUUGUACCCUCAUGCUAAUACUUAACUGUUACUCCCUCCGUAAACUAAUAUAAGAGCGUUUAGAUUACUAUUUUAGUUAUCUAAACACUCUUAUAUUAGUUUACAGAGGGAGUACAAUUUUUAUUGUUCUUCUCAUUAUAUGUACCUAAUAAUGAUUUAGUUCAUUUCUGGAUGCUUGGACUAAGUCACUGCCAACUUUCUGUAACUUACAGCCUUCGCUUCUUAAGGAAUUGGAGCACUACACUCCCAUUUGUUAAUAGUUACACAUGGUGUACGCCUGUAUGAGUACUCAAUGUUGUUGUCUGAUGUCUGUACAUUUGUUUGAGCACCACACGAUCUCAUGAAAGAUUUGUAUUGCUCAUCUUAGUCCAAACUGAUGAUGCUGUGUUUUUUUGUA